Portunus trituberculatus (swimming crab) is the source of this 1025-nucleotide long non-coding RNA. RefSeq lists it as uncharacterized. The record is from RefSeq and is a predicted model, not a curated record. NCBI's taxonomy places the organism in Eukaryota, Metazoa, Arthropoda, Malacostraca, Decapoda, Portunidae. The transcript has 4 exons.
UGACGCGCGGCGGAGGCAAGGCGGGAGGCUGUGUGUGCUUGUGUUCCCGGGAGGAGGAAGGCGAAGGGACGAUAAGCUCUCCAGCGAGAGUAACAUGUGUCUGGCGACCGUCAAAACAUCAAAGGACAUCCAUGAGAUUGAGGACAAGUAGUAAAGACAGUGGAGAAGAGUGAAGAAGGAUACCUGGCUUAUGAUUAAUGUACGAAAGUCUGAAGCAGGAGAGCAGGUAGAGAAGAAUUCCUAUGUAAAUGUGAAGUAAGAGCAGACAGGAAGGACUGGCUGGCCGGCGACACGUGCAGCUCAAAAAAGAAUCAGGUCCCAAUACGGCGGGAAUCAAAAGAAUGUCAUCAGAAGUUUUGGAGGUGAAAGCAAAAGUUUCCUAUUGAGCCCCUCCUUUAAGCAGCCCUGAUCACCGGCGGCCAAAGCCAGACGUCCUGAAGCAUAAGUUGGGGAGAUUACUCUUCACGAAAGAACUGGACUUUUCCAACUCCUACUCGCACAAUAAACGUUCAAGGAUGAUAUUGUGCGCCGCGAGGUUCUCCAGACGUCGGUGCGCGUCCCUCACUGCCAGCCCUUAUCAGUCCCUCGCCAUCUUGCCUCUCAGCGGUGUGGCGCAGCUUUGAUGAAGAUUCUCUUGUGUUCCAAUUAUCCCGGAGCUCCCUUUUGUCCCCCGGUGAUAAGGGCUUUAGUUCCCUGUCGCAUAAAGUGCACUGUGUUUGGCUUGAAUUGUUGGUGGAAGGUGAGGCGCUGCUUCCCCCCCCUUCGCCUCCUUCCCUCCCAUCUUCUAUUCCCUCCCUCCCUUUCUUCCUCUCCUUCCUAUCUUCAUUCAUUCCUUCCUCCGGUACAGUCUUCACUUCCUCUUGGUUGGAUUCCAAACUAACUGUUGCAAUGAUAUUAGAACACCGUGUUGUAUUUUGUGUUCAUGUAUAAUUUAUUUCUCUCCCUCCAUGUUCCGUUAUUUGUUAGUUGAUGCGAUAUACUUUAGGUUAGGUUAAGUUAGGUUAGGUACAUACAUACAAGUAACA